RNAcentral lists this unclassified non-coding RNA (1095 nucleotides) under Hevea brasiliensis (rubber tree). The record is from RNAcentral. Lineage: Eukaryota; Viridiplantae; Streptophyta; Magnoliopsida; Malpighiales; Euphorbiaceae.
GGAAACUUGCAUUUUUAUAUAUGAUUAAUAGUAUUUAUUAUGUAUAUGUAGUAGAUAUUAAACCCCUUUUGUUUUUUUCGUGUGUUUAGUUGGAGUUGGCUUACAGUUAAGUGUAAAGUUAUGCUUAUUUUUGUUGAGGUUGAUUGGUUGGGGUUAAGUUAAAGCUAGUAACUGCUUAGUAUGGAAAUUUUCUUAUGUUUGUUGACAUCUAGAGGAUUUCCCUAUUCGUUGAGGUGAUAUAGAUCUUUAGUAGCUGCAAUUAGUGUUCAAAGUUUCGAUCUUUACAAUUUUGGCUGUAAUUCAUUUUGGUAUAGGAGGAUGUGUUGCACUGAUUAAGCUGGAAAGUUGCGUUGCAUUAAUAACUUGAUCGGAGUACCUGUUUGUCUGAAAGGUGAGGUAGGGAGAUCCAUAGGGAUGAUUUGGUUGGUUCUGUUGUUGUUAUUAUCACAAGGGAAUGGGAAAGGAGGAGUGGAAGCUUCUGAAUACUUAAUUGGGCUUGGAAGCUAUGAUAUAACUGGGCCGGCUGCUGAUGUCAACAUGAUGGGAUAUGCUAACAUGGAGCAGAUUGUGUCGGGUGUUCACUUCAGGUUGCGAGCUCGUACCUUCAUUGUAGCUGAACCUCAAGGGAAGCGUGUUGUUUUCGUGAACCUUGAUGCUUGCAUGGCCUCACAGAUUGUAACCAUCAAAGUUCUUGAGAGAUUGAAGGCUAGGUAUGGGAAUCUUUACACCGAAAAAAAUGUUGCUAUUAGUGGCAUUCACACCCAUGCUGGCCCUGGUGGUUAUCUACAAUACGUAGUAUAUAUCGUAACAUCUCUUGGUUUUGUCCGUCAAUCAUUUGAUGCUGUAGUUAAUGGGAUUGAGCAAAGUAUUAUACAAGCUCAUGAAAACCUCCGACCUGGAUCAAUAUUUGUCAAUAAAGGGGAGCUACUGGAUGCUGGUGUGAAUCGUAGCCCUAGUGCUUAUUUGAAUAAUCCUGCUGGAGAACGUGGUAAAUAUAAGUACAAUGUUGACAAAGAAAUGACCCUUCUAAAGUUUAGUGAUGAUGAAUGGGGACCAGUAGGCAGCUUUAAUUGGUUUGCAACUCAUGGAACUUCU